CUGCGAAUGGCUCAUUAAAUCAGUUAUCGUUCCUUUGAUAGUACCUUACUACACGGAUAUCUGUGGUAAUUCUAGAGUUAAUACGUGCUAAAAACCUCGACUUCGGAAGGGGUGUAUUUAUUAGACUAAAAACCAACGCCCUUCGGGGCUCCUUGGUGAUUCAUAAUAACUCAACGAAUCGCAUGGCCUUGAGCCGGCGAUGGUUCAUUCAAAUUUCUGCCCUAUCAACUUUCGAUGCUAGGGUAGUGGCCUAGCAUGGUGACAACGGGUAACGGGGGAUUAGGGUUCUAUUCCGGAGAGGGAGCCUGAGAAACGGCUACCACAUCCAAGGAAGGCAGCAGGCGCGCAAAUUACCCAAUCCCGACACGGGGAGGUAGUGACAAUAAAUACUGAUACAGGGCUCUUUUGGGUCUUGUAAUUGGAAUGAGUACGAUUUAAAUACCCUAACGAGGAACAAUUGGAGGGCAAGUCUGGUGCCAGCAGCCGCGGUAAUUCCAGCUCCAAUAGCGUAUAUUAAAGUUGUUGCAGUUAAAACGCUCGUCGUUGAACCUUGGGCCUGGGCGAUCGGUCCCCCUCACCGGGAGCACUGGUUCGGCCGGGCCUUUCCUUCUGGGGAUCCGCAUGCCCUUCGCUGGGCGUGCUGGGGAACCAGGACUUUUACUUUGAAAAAAUUAGAGUGUUCAAAGCAGGCCUUUGCUCGAAUACCUUAGCAUGGAAUAAUAGAAUAGGACGUGCGGUCCUAUUUUGUUGGUUUCUAGGACCGCCGUAAUGAUUAAUAGGGUCAGUCGGGGGCAUCAGUAUUCAAUUGUCAGAGGUGAAAUUCUUAGAUUUAUUGAAGACUAACUACUGCGAAAGCAUUUGCCAAGGAUGUUUUCAUUAAUCAGUGAACGAAAGUUAGGGGAUCGAAGACGAUCAGAUACCGUCGUAGUCCUAACCAUAAACUAUGCCGACUAGGGAUCGGGGUAUACUCAUUUUUGGUUACCUCGGCACCUUACGAAAAAUCAAAGUGUUUGGGUUCUGGGGGGAGUAUAGUCCCAGGCCAAUA
RNAcentral lists this ribosomal RNA (1045 nucleotides) under Jahnula bipileata. RNAcentral's name for it is "SSU rRNA". It matches the Rfam family "Eukaryotic small subunit ribosomal RNA", at positions 87 to 1142 of the family's 1831-position model. The record is from RNAcentral. Lineage: Eukaryota; Fungi; Ascomycota; Dothideomycetes; Jahnulales; Aliquandostipitaceae.